CUGAGCAACUUGCAAGGGUUGCUGAUCGCCGUGCAGGAGUCAGCAGCGGGCAUAGUAGGGCGGCGACGCCUGACGGCC
Molecule: non-coding RNA, 78 nt
Filed under: Burkholderia sp. GAS332
Lineage: Bacteria; Pseudomonadati; Pseudomonadota; Betaproteobacteria; Burkholderiales; Burkholderiaceae
Source: RNAcentral